This 253-nucleotide ribosomal RNA is filed under the name uncultured Eubacteriales bacterium. RNAcentral describes it as "uncultured Clostridiales bacterium partial 16S ribosomal RNA". It matches the Rfam family "Bacterial small subunit ribosomal RNA", at positions 524 to 776 of the family's 1533-position model. Lineage: Bacteria; Bacillati; Bacillota; Clostridia; Eubacteriales. The record is from RNAcentral.
UACGUAGGGGGCAAGCGUUAUCCGGAUUUACUGGGUGUAAAGGGAGCGUAGACGGCAGGGCAAGUCUGGAGUGAAAGCCCGGGGCCCAACCCCGGGACUGCUUUGGAAACUGCCAUGCUAGAGUGCUGGAGAGGUAAGCGGAAUUCCUAGUGUAGCGGUGAAAUGCGUAGAUAUAACUUAGAACACCGAUAGCGAAGGCAGCUUACCAGACUGAGUCUGACGCUGAUGCACGAGAGCAUGGGUAGCGAACAGG